RNAcentral lists this ribosomal RNA (492 nucleotides) under uncultured bacterium. RNAcentral's name for it is "partial 16S ribosomal RNA". It matches the Rfam family "Bacterial small subunit ribosomal RNA", at positions 29 to 507 of the family's 1533-position model. The record is from RNAcentral.
AGUGAACGCUGGCGGUAGGCCUAACACAUGCAAGUCGAACGGCAGCACAGUAAGAGCUUGCUCUUACGGGUGGCGAGUGGCGGACGGGUGAGGAAUACAUCGGAAUCUACUUUUUCGUGGGGGAUAACGUAGGGAAACUUACGCUAAUACCGCAUACGACCUACGGGUGAAAGCAGGGGAUCUUCGGACCUUGCGCGAUUGAAUGAGCCGAUGUCGGAUUAGCUAGUUGGCGGGGUAAAGGCCCACCAAGGCGACGAUCCGUAGCUGGUCUGAGAGGAUGAUCAGCCACACUGGAACUGAGACACGGUCCAGACUCCUACGGGAGGCAGCAGUGGGGAAUAUUGGACAAUGGGCGCAAGCCUGAUCCAGCCAUACCGCGUGGGUGAAGAAGGCCUUCGGGUUGUAAAGCCCUUUUGUUGGGAAAGAAAAGCAGCAGGUUAAUGUCCCGCUGUUCUGACGGUACCCAAAGAAUAAGCACCGGCUAACUUCGUG